RNAcentral lists this ribosomal RNA (714 nucleotides) under uncultured Corynebacterium sp. Its description in RNAcentral is "bacterial SSU rRNA". It matches the Rfam family "Bacterial small subunit ribosomal RNA", at positions 65 to 791 of the family's 1533-position model. Lineage: Bacteria; Bacillati; Actinomycetota; Actinomycetes; Mycobacteriales; Corynebacteriaceae. The record is from RNAcentral.
AACGGAAAGGCCCUGCUUGCAGGGUACUCGAGUGGCGAACGGGUGAGUAACACGUGGGUGAUCUGCCCUGCACUUCGGGAUAAGCUUGGGAAACUGGGUCUAAUACCGGAUAGGAGCCAUCUUUAGUGUGGUGGUUGGAAAGUUUUUUCGGUGUAGGAUGAGCUCGCGGCCUAUCAACUUGUUGGUGGGGUAAUGGCCUACCAAGGCGGCGACGGGUAGCCGGCCUGAGAGGGUGUACGGCCACAUUGGGACUGAGAUACGGCCCAGACUCCUACGGGAGGCAGCAGUGGGGAAUAUUGCACAAUGGGCGCAAGCCUGAUGCAGCGACGCCGCGUGGGGGAUGAAGGCCUUCGGGUUGUAAACUCCUUUCGCUAGGGACGAAGCUUUUUUGUGACGGUACCUAGAUAAGAAGCACCGGCUAACUACGUGCCAGCAGCCGCGGUAAUACGUAGGGUGCGAGCGUUGUCCGGAAUUACUGGGCGUAAAGGGCUCGUAGGUGGUUUGUCGCGUCGUCUGUGAAAUUCUGGGGCUUAACUCCGGGCGUGCAGGCGAUACGGGCAUAACUUGAGUGCUGUAGGGGUAACUGGAAUUCCUGGUGUAGCGGUGAAAUGCGCAGAUAUCAGGAGGAACACCGAUGGCGAAGGCAGGUUACUGGGCAGUUACUGACGCUGAGGAGCGAAAGCAUGGGUAGCGAACAGGAUUAGAUACCCUGGU